GUAGGGAAUCUUCGGCAAUGGACGAAAGUCUGACCGAGCAACGCCGCGUGAGUGAAGAAGGUUUUCGGAUCGUAAAACUCUGUUGUUAGAGAAGAACGUUGUGUAGAGUGGAAAAUUACACAAGUGACGGUAUCUAACCAGAAAGGGACGGCUAACUACGUGCCAGCAGCCGCGGUAAUACGUAGGUCCCGAGCGUUGUCCGGAUUUAUUGGGCGUAAAGCGAGCGCAGGUGGUUUAAUAAGUCUGAUGUAAAAGGCAGUGGCUCAACCAUUGUGUGCAUUGGAAACUGUUAGACUUGAGUGCAGUAGAGGAGAGUGGAAUUCCAUGUGUAGCGGUGAAAUGCGUAGAUAUAUGGAGGAACACCGGUGGCGAAAGCGGCUCUCUGGACUGUAACUGACACUGAGGCUCGAAAGCGUGGGUAGCAAACAGGAUUAGAAACCCCUGUAGUCC
RNAcentral lists this ribosomal RNA (450 nucleotides) under uncultured bacterium. RNAcentral describes it as "partial 16S ribosomal RNA". It matches the Rfam family "Bacterial small subunit ribosomal RNA", at positions 354 to 796 of the family's 1533-position model. The record is from RNAcentral.